UGAUAGCGUUGAAACGUGAGGUUGCUGCCCGAUAAUGUGGCAGGUUUUCCGCGGAGCGAAUGUCAAGUUAGGAAACUGACGACAA
Regulatory RNA element from Butyrivibrio sp. CAG:318, 85 nucleotides. It matches the Rfam family "S10-Clostridia ribosomal protein leader". The record is from Rfam. NCBI's taxonomy places the organism in Bacteria, Bacillati, Bacillota, Clostridia, Lachnospirales, Lachnospiraceae.